RNAcentral lists this ribosomal RNA (465 nucleotides) under uncultured bacterium. Its description in RNAcentral is "bacterial SSU rRNA". It matches the Rfam family "Bacterial small subunit ribosomal RNA", at positions 338 to 795 of the family's 1533-position model. The record is from RNAcentral.
CCUACGGGGUGCAGCAGUGGGGAAUACUGCACAAUGGGCGCAAGCCUGAUGCAGCCAUGCCGCGUGUAUGAAGAAGGCCCUCGGGUUGUAAAGUACUUUCAGCGGGGAGGAAGGCGAUAAGGUUAAUAACCUUGUCGAUUGACGUUACCCGCAGAAGAAGCACCGGCUAACUCCGUGCCAGCAGCCGCGGUAAUACGGAGGGUGCAAGCGUUAAUCGGAAUUACUGGGCGUAAAGCGCACGCAGGCGGUCUGCCAAGUCGGAUGUGAAAUCCCCGGGCUCAACCUGGGAACUGCAUUCGAAACUGGCAGGCUAGAGUCUUGUAGAGGGGGGUAGAAUUCUAGGUGUAGCGGUGAAAUGCGUAGAGAUCUGGAGGAAUACCGGUGGCGAAGGCGGCCCCCUGGACAAAGACUGACGCUCAGGUGCGAAAGCGUGGGGAGCAAACAGGAUUAGAUACCCCGGUAGUC